This 424-nucleotide ribosomal RNA is filed under the name uncultured bacterium. Its description in RNAcentral is "bacterial SSU rRNA". It matches the Rfam family "Bacterial small subunit ribosomal RNA", at positions 355 to 776 of the family's 1533-position model. The record is from RNAcentral.
UGAGGAAUAUUGGUCAAUGGCCGGAAGGCUGAACCAGCCAAGUCGCGUGAGGGAAUAAGGCCCUAUGGGUCGUAAACCUCUUUUGUCAGGGAGCAAAGGCGUCCACGUGUGGACGAAAGGAGAGUACCUGAAGAAAAAGCAUCGGCUAACUCCGUGCCAGCAGCCGCGGUAAUACGGAGGAUGCGAGCGUUAUCCGGAUUUAUUGGGUUUAAAGGGUGCGUAGGCGGAGUGUCAAGUCAGCGGUAAAAUUUCGGGGCUCAACCCCGUCGUGCCGUUGAAACUGACGCCCUUGAGUGAGUGAGAAGUAAGCGGAAUGCGUGGUGUAGCGGUGAAAUGCAUAGAUAUCACGCAGAACGCCGAUUGCGAAGGCAGCUUGCCGGCGCUCAACUGACGCUGAGGCACGAAAGUGCGGGUAUCGAACAGG